AACGGAACGAUUGUAAUAUCAUGGGGAACUCCGUUCCCAUGACAAAAGGAAUUUAAAAUCAACGUAGGAUGAUCCCAUUAAUAUACUUUGAAUUUGCGUUUUCUCAUUUGCCCUAAAUCUAGAUCUUUCCUCUGUAAUGAUGUCUGAUCGAUGUAAUAUUUCUGUCUCCUUUUAAAUACGAUGCAUUGCAUUUUAAUGGACCUGAUUUCCCGUCAUUUUUUUCCGUAGGCGCUGAUGAACCGUCGGUUGCAAAUCAUGUAAAUCGGGAGCUCCUGAAAUGGUUGGUAGUUGAUAUACCAGGCUGCGACCUGCAUCAAGGCGUGGAACUUGUAAAAUAUGCUCCUGUGGAAAUGAUACAAAAAAACUGGUCUUCAUAGGUACGUUUUUACUGUGUACGAACAGCCGAAAGAAAGACCAAAUUGGAAUGAAACAUUAAUUCAUGAUAAUAAAGACAAACGCAGGGUCAAGUUCUCGAACAGGAAAUUUGCGAUGAAGUAUAAUCUCGGUGAUCUUUAUGCGGCUAAUUACUUCCAUUCGGAACCUGAACCCCCAAGCCGGAAAGGCCCAGGGCCCGAAAUUUACGAGAAGAAUUAUCGAUUGAAUGCCACUAAGACGGGUCUUAAAGGAAAUCCAUGAACAAAUUAUUGAGAACUUUGGCUGUGAUUUGCGGAACAUUUCAAGAAUGCCAUGACGCAAAAAUUGUUCUAGAAAAUUUAUAACCCCCCCCCCCCAAAUAAUCAAAGAAAGAAAGAAAUAACAGUCGAACUUUCAAGUUUGUUUUCUCAAGUGGAUGAAUAAGAUUAAAUUGUUUCGUUUUGGAUUUAUCGCAGAGUCAGGAUCUGGCGGUUAGGCCAGAUAUUUUUGAUGAUGCCCGCAUUUUGGACUCUUUUUAUGUAAAAGGCGAUCGAAAGUAUUGAUGCUUUGAGAAAAAUUGACAAACUUCAAAUUUCUUUAUUUUCGACAAAACUUAGACUCAAAUUCAAUCCGCACAUUUUUACACAUAACAUUA
Non-coding RNA from Bemisia tabaci, 1009 nucleotides. NCBI's taxonomy places the organism in Eukaryota, Metazoa, Arthropoda, Insecta, Hemiptera, Aleyrodidae. The record is from RefSeq and is a predicted model, not a curated record.